CUUGCCCCUAGAGGCGUUGCAGACAUGACCUUGGUUUCAUGUCUGUGUCAUUAGGCGGCAUAGAUUAAGGCGGCUGCGUCUACGCUCGGUGCCCGCUGUGUGGGUACUAAGAAUGAUUUCCAGCCGGAUAUU
This is a small nucleolar RNA of Bufo bufo (common toad), 132 nucleotides long. RefSeq annotates it as small nucleolar RNA SNORA17. The record is from RefSeq and is a predicted model, not a curated record. Lineage: Eukaryota; Metazoa; Chordata; Amphibia; Anura; Bufonidae. The transcript has a single exon.